GUGAAAUCCUUACAUUGCCUGAAC
This 24-nucleotide non-coding RNA is filed under the name Arabidopsis thaliana (thale cress). The record is from RNAcentral. Lineage: Eukaryota; Viridiplantae; Streptophyta; Magnoliopsida; Brassicales; Brassicaceae.